This 118-nucleotide ribosomal RNA is filed under the name Analipus japonicus. The record is from RNAcentral. Lineage: Eukaryota; Phaeophyceae; Ralfsiales; Ralfsiaceae.
AAGAGGUUCGCCUCUUCUUCUAGAAACACACCCGAACCCAUAUCGAACUCGAGCGUCUUUUUCUAGAAGGCCAUACCUACUAGUUUUUGCUGGGAACCAUGGCUUUUUUCAACCUAUU